This 476-nucleotide ribosomal RNA is filed under the name Hemifusus tuba. RNAcentral's name for it is "partial 16S ribosomal RNA". It matches the Rfam family "Bacterial large subunit ribosomal RNA", at positions 1930 to 2608 of the family's 2925-position model. Lineage: Eukaryota; Metazoa; Mollusca; Gastropoda; Neogastropoda; Melongenidae. The record is from RNAcentral.
UGUGCGGUUUCUGGCCCGCACAAAGGUAGCACAAUCAUUUGCCUUAUAAUUGAAGGCUAGUAUGAAUGGUUUGACAAGAAUAUAGCUGUCUCUUUAUGGCUAUUUAGAAUUUUAUUUAUAGGUGAAGAAGCCUAUAUUUCAUUAAUAGACGAGAAGACCCUAUCGAGCUUCAAAUAAAUUAAUAGAUAUAAAUCAAUUAAAUAAUAAUUAAAAUAAAAACUAUUAAAUAUUCAUAGUUAGUUGGGGCGACUGAGGAACAAUAAAAGCUUCCUUUGCAUUUUAAUAGACUAUACUAGUUUUAAUCCAAAAACUUUUUGAUCAAAGAAAUUAGCUACCGUAGGGAUAACAGCAUAAUCCCUUUUGAGAGCUCCUAUCGAAAAGGGGGUUUGUGACCUCGAUGUUGGACUAGAAUAUCCCAAAGAUGCACCAGUCUUUAAAGGUGGGUCUGUUCGACUUUUACGGUCUAAAGUGACACA